This 492-nucleotide ribosomal RNA is filed under the name uncultured bacterium. RNAcentral's name for it is "partial 16S ribosomal RNA". It matches the Rfam family "Bacterial small subunit ribosomal RNA", at positions 29 to 507 of the family's 1533-position model. The record is from RNAcentral.
AGUGAACGCUGGCGGUAGGCCUAACACAUGCAAGUCGAACGGCAGCACAGUAAGAGCUUGCUCUUACGGGUGGCGAGUGGCGGACGGGUGAGGAAUACAUCGGAAUCUACUUUUUCGUGGGGGAUAACGUAGGGAAACUUACGCUAAUACCGCAUACGACCUACGGGUGAAAGCAGGGGAUCUUCGGACCUUGCGCGAUUGAAUGAGCCGAUGUCGGAUUAGCUAGUUGGCGGGGUAAAGGCCCACCAAGGCGACGAUCCGUAGCUGGUCUGAGAGGAUGCUCAGCCACACUGGAACUGAGACACGGUCCAGACUCCUCCGGGAGGCAGCAGUGGGGAAUAUUAGACAAUGGGCGCAAGCCUGAUCCAGCCAUACCGCGUGGGUGAAGAAGGCCUUCGGGUUGUAAAGCCCUUUUGUUGGGAAAGAAAAGCAGCAGGUUAAUACCCCGCUGUUCUGACGGUACCCAAAGAAUAAGCACCGGCUAACUUCGUG